This 395-nucleotide non-coding RNA is filed under the name Pongo abelii (Sumatran orangutan). The record is from RNAcentral. Lineage: Eukaryota; Metazoa; Chordata; Mammalia; Primates; Hominidae.
GGAUUUUAAAAAUUAUUCGCUAGAAAAAAGACCACGAACUUUGGAGUGGACAUCCUGAGACCUGCCUAAGAAAACCAUUAGGGUAAAGAAGUCACCCCUUCACCCCAGGACCAGGAAGCCUCCAGGAUGGCAUAAGCGACCAAACAGCUGGGAGCCAAGCACAGUGCAGGGGGCUUGGGGGCGGCGGCCGGAGGCUGGGGAUGCACAGGAAUCUGGGGGAUAUUAUGGUUCUGGGAAUGUGGAAUGUAACGUCUCAUCUUCAGCCCAUCUGUGCUACUGAUCGUCUCAUUCCAGAAGCUAUGCCUUCUCUCAGGAGCAGACUGCACAAGGCUUUCCUGCCAGAGGCACAGUCCCCAGUGGGUGUAGCAUUCACAUAAGACAGGACGCAGAGAUGU